AUACCGCAUAACAACUUGGACCGCAUGGUCCGAGCUUGAAAGAUGGCUUCGGCUAUCACUUUUGGAUGGUCCCGCGGCGUAUUAGCUAGAUGGUGGGGUAACGGCUCACCAUGGCAAUGAUACGUAGCCGACCUGAGAGGGUAAUCGGCCACAUUGGGACUGAGACACGGCCCAAACUCCUACGGGAGGCAGCAGUAGGGAAUCUUCCACAAUGGACGAAAGUCUGAUGGAGCAACGCCGCGUGAGUGAAGAAGGGUUUCGGCUCGUAAAACUCUGUUGUUAAAGAAGAACAUAUCUGAGAGUAACUGUUCAGGUAUUGACGGUAUUUAACCAGAAAGCCACGGCUAACUACGUGCCAGCAGCCGCGGUAAUACGUAGGUGGCAAGCGUUGUCCGGAUUUAUUGGGCGUAAAGCGAGCGCAGGCGGUUUUUUAAGUCUGAUGUGAAAGCCUUCGGCUCAACCGAAGAAGUGCAUCGGAAACUGGGGAACUUGAGUGCA
This 498-nucleotide ribosomal RNA is filed under the name Lactiplantibacillus plantarum. Its description in RNAcentral is "bacterial SSU rRNA". It matches the Rfam family "Bacterial small subunit ribosomal RNA", at positions 166 to 650 of the family's 1533-position model. The record is from RNAcentral. Lineage: Bacteria; Bacillati; Bacillota; Bacilli; Lactobacillales; Lactobacillaceae.